AAUCAACGCUGGCGGCGUGCCUAACACAUGCAAGUCGAACGCGAAAGCCCCUUCGGGGGUAAGUAGAGUGGCGUCCGGGUGAGUAACACGUAGGUAAUCUACCUUCGGGCGGGGAAUAACCAGUCGAAAGAUUGGCUAAUACCGCAUAAUGCAGCGGCACCUAAUGGUGAUUAGUUGUUAAAGCGGGGGAUCGUAAGACCUCGCGCCUGAAGAGGAGCCUGCGGCAGAUUAGCUAGUUUGGGAGGUAAUGGCUCACCAAGGCUUCGAUCUGUAGCUGGUCUGAGAGGACGGCCAGCCACACUGGCACUGACACACGGGCCAGACUCCUACGGGAGGCAGCAGUGGGGAAUUUUGGGCAAUGGGCGAAAGCCUGACCCAGCAACGCCGCGCGAGGGAGGAAAUCCUCGGAUGUAAACCUCANAAGCAAGGGAAGAGAGCUCAGGGCCCGAAGUAAGCUUUGAGUCCGACGGUACCUUGCGUAACGCACCGGCUAACUACGUGCCAGCA
This 507-nucleotide ribosomal RNA is filed under the name uncultured bacterium. RNAcentral describes it as "bacterial SSU rRNA". It matches the Rfam family "Bacterial small subunit ribosomal RNA", at positions 32 to 513 of the family's 1533-position model. The record is from RNAcentral.